GAUGAACGCUGGCGGCGUGCCUAAUACAUGCAAGUCGAGCGAACAGACGAGGAACUUGCUCCUCUGACGUUAGCGGCGGACGGGUGAGUAAAACGUGGAUAACCUACCUAUAAGACUGGGAUAACUUCGGGAAACCGGAGCUAAUACCGGAUAAUAUAUUGAACAGCAUGGUUCAAUAGUGAAAGACGGUUUUGCUGUCACUUAUAGCUGGAUCCGCGCCGCAUUAGCUAGUUGGUAAGGUAACGGCUUACCAAGGCAACGAUGCGUAGCCGACCUGAGAGGGUGAUCGGCCACACUGGAACUGAGACACGGUCCAGACUCCUACGGGAGGCAGCAGUAGGGAAUCUUCCGCAAUGGGCGAAAGCCUGACGGAGCAACGCCGCGUGAGUGAUGAAGGUCUUCGGAUCGUAAAACUCUGUUAUUAGGGAAGAACAAAUGUGUAAGUAACUAUGCACGUCUUGACGGUACCUAAUCAGAAAGCCACGGCUAACUACGUG
RNAcentral lists this ribosomal RNA (497 nucleotides) under uncultured bacterium. RNAcentral's name for it is "partial 16S ribosomal RNA". It matches the Rfam family "Bacterial small subunit ribosomal RNA", at positions 28 to 507 of the family's 1533-position model. The record is from RNAcentral.